This 504-nucleotide ribosomal RNA is filed under the name uncultured bacterium. RNAcentral describes it as "bacterial SSU rRNA". It matches the Rfam family "Bacterial small subunit ribosomal RNA", at positions 903 to 1397 of the family's 1533-position model. The record is from RNAcentral.
AAAGGAAUUGACGGGGACCCGCACAAGCGGUGGAACAUGUGGUUUAAUUCGAAGCAACGCGAAAAACCUUACCAGGGCUUGACAUCUGGAGAAUUUCUGUGAAAGCAGGAAGUGCCCCUCGGGGAGCUCCAAGACAGGUGGUGCACGGCUGUCGUCAGCUCGUGUCGUGAGAUGUUGGGUUAAGUCCCGCAACGAGCGCAACCCUCGUCGUUAGUUGGUUAUAUCGGUAUACUGAUAUAGACCUCUCUAGCGAGACUGCCGGUGAUAAACCGGAGGAAGGUGGGGACGACGUCAAGUCAUCAUGCCCCUUAUGUCCUGGGCUACACACGUGUUACAAUGGACGGUACAACGAGCAGCCAACUCGCGAGAGUGAGCAAAUCUCUUAAAACCGUUCUCAGUUCGGAUUGCACUCUGCAACUCGAGUGCAUGAAGUCGGAAUCGCUAGUAAACGCAGAUCAGCACGCUGCGUUGAAUACGUUCCCGGGUCUUGUACACACCGCCCGU